GGAUGUGAGGGCAAUCUGGCUGAGACAUCUGUCAUCCCGUUGAUCCCCAGGGUUGAUUUGGCUAAUCUGGCUGGCUAGGUGGGUGUCCUCUUCCUCCCUCACCAUUCCAUGUGCAUCCCUCCCGAAGCUGCACGCUCGGUUGAAGAGGACGGCCUUUCCCGAAUAGAGAUGGACUGGUCUAGAACCUC
Molecule: small nuclear RNA, 188 nt
Filed under: Erinaceus europaeus (western European hedgehog)
Lineage: Eukaryota; Metazoa; Chordata; Mammalia; Eulipotyphla; Erinaceidae
Description: 7SK RNA
Rfam family: 7SK RNA
About the family: 7SK was discovered as an abundant small nuclear RNA in the mid-70s but a possible function has only recently been suggested. Two independent studies have found that 7SK RNA binds the CDK9/cyclin T complex (known as elongation factor P-TEFb).
Source: Rfam by way of RNAcentral